Molecule: ribosomal RNA, 468 nt
Filed under: uncultured bacterium
Lineage: Bacteria
Description: partial 16S ribosomal RNA
Rfam family: Bacterial small subunit ribosomal RNA
Source: RNAcentral
GACGAACGCUGGCGGCGUGCUUAACACAUGCAAGUCGAACGGAAAGGCCCUGCUUUCGUGGGGUGCUCGAGUGGCGAACGGGUGCGUAACACGUGAGUAACCUGCCCUUGACUUUGGGAUAACUUCAGGAAACUGGGGCUAAUACCGGAUAGGAGCUCCUGCUGCAUGGUGGGGGUUGGAAAGUUUCGGCGGUUGGGGAUGGACUCGCGGCUUAUCAGCUUGUUGGUGGGGUAGUGGCUUACCAAGGCUUUGACGGGUAGCCGGCCUGAGAGGGUGACCGGCCACAUUGGGACUGAGAUACGGCCCAGACUCCUACGGGAGGCAGCAGUGGGGAAUAUUGCACAAUGGGCGGAAGCCUGAUGCAGCAGCGCCGCGUGCGGGAUGACGGCCUUCGGGUUGUAAACCGCUUUCGCCUGUGACGAAGCGUGAGUGACGGUAAUGGGUAAAGAAGCACCGGCUAACUACGUG